RNAcentral lists this transfer RNA (84 nucleotides) under Janthinobacterium lividum. RNAcentral's name for it is "tRNA-seC(tca)". The record is from RNAcentral. Lineage: Bacteria; Pseudomonadati; Pseudomonadota; Betaproteobacteria; Burkholderiales; Oxalobacteraceae.
UGCACCACCAGCACGAUGACGGUAUUGCCGCCUUCAGGGCGGUGCAAGGCCAGGCGCAGCAUGUUCGAGCCGCGCGUGGAGCGG